Crotalus tigris (Tiger rattlesnake) is the source of this 734-nucleotide long non-coding RNA. RefSeq lists it as uncharacterized. Lineage: Eukaryota; Metazoa; Chordata; Lepidosauria; Squamata; Viperidae. The record is from RefSeq and is a predicted model, not a curated record. The transcript has 2 exons.
AUCUCCAGAUGCUGUGACUAACGGUAGGUGGAGCAUGUUCAGUGCCUGUUAUGGCCUGUUGUUUAUACCAGAAUCUACGCCAUUUGAAAAACAGCCUCCGAACCAACCCUGUAUUCUAAUGAAUGGAUUAAGAAAUGACACAUUCUACAAAGCUGUUCCCAGAAAGGGCAGGAAAUGUUUUAACAGUCCUGGGCACCUAGCCAAGACUUCCAGCCUUGCUUCUGAGUUUGACACACAAAGUGGAAAGGAGAGGUUUUCAUUCAGCACAAGAAAGAAAGUGACCAUUUUUCAACAAAGGGCAUUUGGCCUUUUACUGUAUUUCUAGGAUCUGACUCUAAGCUUCAGGAAAAUCUAGGAGGAGGGUUCGUAAAAGGAGCUGAUAACCAACACAAUCUAUUCAGAAACAGCAGCUAAAAUCCACUCUGCAAGGGUCAGAAAAGAAGAUGAGGGCUCUCUUCUACAAAAUUGAGGAGCCUCACAACGAACUGCACAAGGAAGCCCACUAAUCUCUCUGCAGAUGGUCUUCAGAGACAGCCAUGCUAACGUCAAGGCUAAGGGCCAUUCCUCUGGACAACGUCUAACUAAUUUUGUGGAAGGUAAAGUAGCACCUCCACUUUAUUCAACCCAUGGACUAUUUUGUAAUUCUCAACCUGUCCCCUUCCAAUUCUUCUCUUUUGGGACUAAAAAUUCCAAAAGGCCAUCUUUCCUCAUAAUAAAAUUCUCCAGACCCGUCA